AUUGGACGCUGGCGGCAUGCCUCACACAUGCAAGUCGAACGGCAGCACGGGGGCAACCCUGGUGGCGAGUGGCGAACGGGUGAGUAACAUAUCGGAACAUACCCUAGAGUGGGGGAUAACGUAGCGAAAGUUACGCUAAUACCGCAUACGAUCUAAGGAUGAAAGUGGGGGAUCUUCGGACCUCAUGCUCAUGGAGUGGCCGAUAUCUGAUUAGCUAGUUGGUGAGGUAAAGGCUCACCAAGGCGACGAUCAGUAGCUGGUUUGAGAGAACGACCAGCCACACUGGAACUGAGACACGGUCCAGACUCCUACGGGAGGCAGCAGUGGGGAAUUUUGGGACAAUGGGGGCAACCCUGAUCCAGCAAUGCCGCGUGAGUGAAGAAGGCCUCGGUUGUAAGCUCUUUUGUUCUAGGGAAGAAACGGUAGAGUCUAAUACAGCUUGCUAAU
Molecule: ribosomal RNA, 447 nt
Filed under: uncultured bacterium
Lineage: Bacteria
Description: bacterial SSU rRNA
Rfam family: Bacterial small subunit ribosomal RNA
Source: RNAcentral